This 219-nucleotide long non-coding RNA is filed under the name Lathyrus oleraceus (garden pea). RNAcentral's name for it is "Pisum sativum (pea) long non-coding RNA (PSAT_LNC040655)". Lineage: Eukaryota; Viridiplantae; Streptophyta; Magnoliopsida; Fabales; Fabaceae. The record is from RNAcentral.
GCAGUUACAGUAGGUAGUUUGUCCCGUUGUUACAGCUUCUUCUGGACAUGCAACAAAUCUGUUGGUGUCUCUGAACAAUGAUAGUAUGUUUGCUUCAAUUUAGGUGUCUGGUACUGGUGUCUUGUUUUUCUACUUUAACAGUUUGUUAUUGUGGUCCAUGCAAAAUUCUAGUAGCAGGGAUUCUGUUUUUUCUGUAUUGUUUGGCAUAGCUUAUGCCUU